Long non-coding RNA from Dreissena polymorpha, 712 nucleotides. RefSeq lists it as uncharacterized. NCBI's taxonomy places the organism in Eukaryota, Metazoa, Mollusca, Bivalvia, Myida, Dreissenidae. The transcript is spliced from 2 exons. The record is from RefSeq and is a predicted model, not a curated record.
UGUUUAAGGUAGCGCAUCUCUAAUGAUUUCCCGCGAUUUCUUCGAAGGUUGAAGAGCCUACUAUUAGGUGCCGUAGCCUAGUGGUUAAGGCGAUAGACUAGCAAUCUUUUGGGAUAUUCCCGCGCAGGUUCGAAUCCUGCCGACGACGUAUACUUUUUUGCGACGCGUUUUAUUUAUUUUCUAACGUAAUUUGAUUUAAUAUGGCAUAUAAGCUAUAUUUAUUGUUAAAUAUGUUGCAAUUUUUAUGCACAUUCUUCAAUUAUUAAAAUUAAAACAACGUUAUGGCGAAAUUGGGUGAUUUACUGUUGAAAAUACGAACCAUGCAUGUUGCAUUUUUAUUUUUAUUUCAAAAAGUAAACGGUAAAUCUGUCUAGUUCUUGGUAUUUUUGCUGUAUAUAGUGUUUCUAUAAAAACUAAGUUUAAAAUAUGACUUAAAUGAUACUAUUUUGAAUUUUAUGACACUUUGUUUUUAACCGACCCAAUUUUUACUUGGCUGAAAUCACUUACAUUUCAUGGCGCUCUUCCAUAGAUAAAAAUUUGUAAAAAAUAAAUGUCUGUAAAAGAAUACUUAUUUCAUCUUGUUUAAACUUUAAACACCUUUACAGCAUCUGUACACACCAACUGCAUGCCCAUAUUUGGAAAUUUGAAUGAAUUAUGGAACUUUUAUAUACCCCAGGGGUGAAAAUAAACUGGACAAAAGCCGAGCGUGGGG